CUAGAGGAGCGGGACUCGAACCCGCUCAAAAGGAAUCAAAAUCCUCCCUACUUCCGUUAUAGUACCCCCUAG
This 72-nucleotide transfer RNA is filed under the name Caiman crocodilus (spectacled caiman). RNAcentral describes it as "tRNA-Gln". Lineage: Eukaryota; Metazoa; Chordata; Crocodylia; Alligatoridae. The record is from RNAcentral.